Molecule: ribosomal RNA, 568 nt
Filed under: uncultured bacterium
Lineage: Bacteria
Description: bacterial SSU rRNA
Rfam family: Bacterial small subunit ribosomal RNA
Source: RNAcentral
CUACGGGAGGCAGCAGUGGGGAAUAUUGGACAAUGGGCGGAGGCCUGAUCCAGCCAUCCCGCGUGCAGGAUGACAGCCCUAUGGGUUGUAAACUGCUUUUAUUAGGGAAGAACAGUUGAGAUUGAUCUUGAUUUGACGGUACCUAAGGAAUAAGCACCGGCUAACUCCGUGCCAGCAGCCGCGGUAAUACGGAGGGUGCGAGCGUUAUCCGGAAUUACUGGGUUUAAAGGGUGCGUAGGCGGCUUUAUAAGUCAGAGGUGAAAGGCUACGGCUUAACUGUAGGAUUGCCUUUGAUACUGUGAGGCUUGAAUUGAGAUGAGGUAUGCGGAAUGUGGCAUGUAGCGGUGAAAUGCAUAGAUAUGCCAUAGAACAUCGAUUGCGAAGGCAGCAUACUAGGCUUUGAUUGACGCUGAGGCACGAAAGCGUGGGGAGCGAACAGGAUUAGAUACCCUGGUAGUCCACGCCCUAAACGAUGCUCACUCGAUAUGUGUUCUAUAAGGAUGCGUGUCCAAGGGAAACCGUUAAGUGAGCCACCUGGGGAGUACGUCCGCAAGGAUGAAACUCAAAG